GAUGAACGCUGGCGGCGUGCCUAAUACAUGCAAGUCGAGCGAACAGAUGAGGAGCUUGCUCCUCUGACGUUAGCGGCGGACGGGUGGGUAACACGUGGAUAACCUACCUAUAAGACUGGGAUAACUACGGGAAACCGGAGCUAAUACCGGAUAAUAUAUUGAACCGCAUGGUUCAAUAGUGAAAGACGGUUUUGCUGUCACUUAUAGAUGGAUCCGCGCCGCAUUAGCUAGUUGGUAAGGUAACGGCUUACCAAGGCAACGAUGCGUAGCCGACCUGAGAGGGUGAUCGGCCACACUGGAACUGAGACACGGUCCAGACUCCUACGGGAGGCAGCAGUAGGGAAUCUUCCGCAAUGGGCGAAAGCCUGACGGAGCAACGCCGCGUGAGUGAUGAAGGUCUUCGGAUCGUAAAACUCUGUUAUUAGGGAAGAACAAAUGUGUAAGUAACUAUGCACGUCUUGACGGUACCUAAUCAGAAAGCCACGGCUAACUACGUG
Molecule: ribosomal RNA, 497 nt
Filed under: uncultured bacterium
Lineage: Bacteria
Description: partial 16S ribosomal RNA
Rfam family: Bacterial small subunit ribosomal RNA
Source: RNAcentral